Molecule: ribosomal RNA, 497 nt
Filed under: uncultured bacterium
Lineage: Bacteria
Description: partial 16S ribosomal RNA
Rfam family: Bacterial small subunit ribosomal RNA
Source: RNAcentral
GAUGAACGCUGGCGGCGUGCCUAAUACAUGCAAGUCGAGCGAACAGACGAGGAGCUUGCUCCUCUGACGUUAGCGGCGGACGGGUGAGUAACACGUGGAUAACCUACCUAUAAGACUGGGAUAACUUCGGGAAACCGGAGCUAAUACCGGAUAAUAUAUUGAACCGCAUGGUUCAAUAGUGAAAGACGGUUUUGCUGUCACUUAUAGAUGGAUCCGCGCCGCAUUAGCUAGUUGGUAAGGUAACGGCUUACCAAGGCGACGAUGCGUAGCCGACCUGAGAGGGUGAUCGGCCACACUGGAACUGAGACACGGUCCAGACUCCUACGGGAGGCAGCAGUAGGGAAUCUUCCGCAAUGGGCGAAAGCCUGACGGAGCAACGCCGCGUGAGUGAUGAAAGUCUUCGGAUCGUAAAACUCUGUUAUUAGGGAAGAACAAAUGUGUAAGUAACUAUGCACGUCUUGACGGUACCUAAUCAGAAUGCCACGGCUAACUACGUG